UACAGAGACCCCGAGCGUUAUCCGGAAUUACUGGGCGUAAAGCGUGAGCAGCCGGUUGUAUUAGUCUGGUGUCAAACCAUGGGGCCCAACCCCAUGCCUGCAUUGGAAACGGUACAACUCGAGUGGGUAAGAGGGAGGCGGAACGUAUGGUGUAGGGGUGAAAUCCACUGAUAUCAUACGGAACACCAAAAGCGAAGGCAGCCUCCUAGUGCUCUACUGACGGUCAAUCACUAAAGCGUGGGGAUCAAAAAGG
Molecule: ribosomal RNA, 253 nt
Filed under: uncultured bacterium
Lineage: Bacteria
Description: partial 16S ribosomal RNA
Rfam family: Bacterial small subunit ribosomal RNA
Source: RNAcentral